Molecule: long non-coding RNA, 2578 nt
Organism: Cynoglossus semilaevis (tongue sole)
Lineage: Eukaryota; Metazoa; Chordata; Actinopteri; Pleuronectiformes; Cynoglossidae
Exons: 4
Source: RefSeq, a predicted model, not a curated record
CUGACAGUAGUCUGUGCUUCUGCUCCACAAAUACAGUUCUGGAACUUUAAGGAACCUCAGGUGUUCAAUUUCUGAUAAUGCCUCUGUGCCUGCACACUGCUGACUUGACCUCUAGGGGUCCUUAAAGUGCCUUUUUCGUCAUUUUUCGGGCUCUGGCUGAAUCAGAAUAUUCUACUACUGUAAUCCCCCUACUAUACUGUCUUAUAAUCCCUCUACGCCUGCACAGCGCUCUUAUUUGGCUCUGUGUGAUGUUCCUCCCUGUAGUAAAUAUAACUCUGGUGAUUGGACACCGCAGUAUGUCAUGUACUUUUUUUUAAAUUAUGAACUCAACAGUCGUGACAUGAAAAAACCAUGACGACAUGAAGUCACAAGAAAGCAGGUGGACAAAAUAGUUUGAAGUCGGUCUCAUAUUGGAGUAUAAGCAGGAAAACAAGGAGUGAUUGACAAGUGUAGUGUAGUAGAGAGAGUCAGUGUUGAUCAGUCGCUGUGAGACCUGGACCCAGAGCUGCAGAAACUCAAACCUGAACUCCAGUUUGUCUGUUUGUCUGGACACUCAUCGAUCUGUUGGUUUGAAAAUGGGGAAAAAACAAAACAAAAACAGAAACAAAAUAAUGUUUUCCUCCAGUUUAUACCAGAAACAGGAACAGGCUGUAGGUGGAGCUGUUUCCUGGUGUGGAUGCCGCUGAUAAAACGUGUUUACUGGUGAUGGGAACCAGAAGAAACACUGGGCCAAACCAUCGGAGCGGCUCCGACUGGUUUCUGAAGCCAAAGAGGAAAAAAAACAAAAACAAAAAACCUGGUAAUGGAAAAAAGGAACCAGAGAUGAGAAAAACUAACAACGGGGAAAAUCAGAUGAAGCAGCAGGAAGGAGACAGGAUGAGGAGAUAGGGACCGUGAUGAGGUGAUCAGAAGGUCUGAGGUUCUACCAAAUGUUGGAGACGUACAGUACAAUCCAGACGAGGCUCGUCCAAUCAGCUGUGACUAUAGUCGCACCAAACAGGAAAUCAAUUUUAACACCUGCUGUGUGUGUGUGUGUGUGUUCUGCUCUCUGCACCGACAACACACGAAAACAACUGGGAUCGAUUGUCAUUCAGGCGGUGAAUGGAAUCGUGAAGCGAAAGGGGAAAAAAAAAAAGAAAAAAAGCCGAGGCUUUACGUUGUUCACAGCAACCGAGUCUCGUUAGUCAAAUUAAUAAUCAUCAAAGAAGUCCGUCUUCGUUAACACCAGUGACUGUUGUGAAGAUUUAAACAAAACAGUCUCCAGUGUUAAAGGUCAGGCCGAACAGAUGUGGUGCAGCGAGUGGACCCUGCACCGGACGUUGGACACACCUGGUUAUUACCUCACAAUGAUAGUGUUUUCACACUGAACAUGUGAGCAGAUGAUGAUGACGAUGAUGUUGUCUUCAUCCUGAAUCGUCUCUCGAUGUGCAAUACGUAUAAAAUAGUAAAGGAAAAAAAUAUUUAACAUUUUCAUCUUAAAUAUGCAACGAGAAAAAAAAGACAAAAAAAUCGAAUUACACCAGUUGAUCUGAAGCACUUUCAAAGACAAACGUGAUCUCAAGAUGAAUAUUAGAGUGUUGGGUGUAGAAGCUGCUGGAACUUCCUUCUCUGUCAUGGUUCUGUCCCAGAGCUGAGUCGACCGUGGUCAGGAGAUGGCGCUCUGCUGUCGGUGGUCUCUCCCGGUACUCUUGUUCUCCUGGUUCUGGAUUUGUUGCAAUAAAGUUUAAAGAUGUAAAAAAAAAAAUGUUGUGUGAUUUUGUAACUCUGUGUCUGGUAGAACCUGGUUCUUUCUAGACUUCAGUCGUUGGAUCAGUCUACAGUCCUGACUGUUGUGUCAGUCAGACCGGUCAGGCUGGUCACCGACACAAGCCGGGCCGCUGACCGGAGGUUGAAGCACCUGCAGACACAUGCUGGGAGUCGAUGAUGAGAUGUUACGAUCCAGUGGAACUAGAACUGUUUCUGGACGGUGGAUUUAUUGGUUACUUUGCACAUGUUUGGCCUUUGAUCCUCAGUAAUAACCCUCAGCGGGAAACUGAUCGCGUGUGGAUCCUCACGCCGGUCAGAUGUAUUUCUUGUUCCUCCCACGCUGCCCGUACAAGACGGAAACAUUCAAUUCUCCUGCGUCUGCAAGGUCAGAGGUCACAGCCGAGGCUGCUGUUGAUGCACCAAGGGAUGGAUUAGAGGAGAGACAAAAGUCAAGGAGUUCCAACCUACGGCUGGACUUUGAAAAUUCCUUCGGUAGAUAAAGCAGCUCCUCCUCCUCCUCUUCCUCCUCCUCUUCCUCGCCCUCCCUCUGUCUUUCCAUUCUACUCCUGCAGCUCGGUGGGAGGCAGCGGGAGGAGAUCCAUGUCCCAGAGGAAGUCUUUGUCAGUAACGGAUCAGCCGCUGCUGCUGCGGUGGCAGGAGCCUCCAUCACCUCCGUGCUGCCUCCCUCUGCCCUGCAGUGAUCGGCUCCAGUGCAGCCUGGAAGCACAGCUGCUGCCGGUGGGAGCCCCGUCCCGUCCCCCCUCCUCACCCCUCACCCACCCCCCCUCCACUGGAGGCUCAUUGGAAACCAGAUCCUGAGUCUCCGUGGAGG